UACGUAGGUCCCGAGCGUUAUCCGGAUUUAUUGGGCGUAAAGCGAGCGCAGGCGGUUUGAUAAGUCUGAAGUUAAAGGCUGUGGCUCAACCAUAGUAUGCUUUGGAAACUGUUCAACUUGAGUGCAGAAGGGGAGAGUGGAAUUCCAUGUGUAGCGGUGGAAUGCGUAGAUAUAUGGAGGAACACCGGUGGCGAAAGCGGCUCUCUGGUCUGUAACUGACGCUGAGGCUCGAAAGCGUGGGUAGCGAACAGG
This 252-nucleotide ribosomal RNA is filed under the name uncultured bacterium. RNAcentral's name for it is "partial 16S ribosomal RNA". It matches the Rfam family "Bacterial small subunit ribosomal RNA", at positions 524 to 776 of the family's 1533-position model. The record is from RNAcentral.